Molecule: ribosomal RNA, 298 nt
Filed under: uncultured bacterium
Lineage: Bacteria
Description: partial 16S ribosomal RNA
Rfam family: Bacterial small subunit ribosomal RNA
Source: RNAcentral
CCUACGGGAGGCAGCAGUGGGGAAGUUUUGGUACAAUGGGCGGCAAGCCUGAUCCAGCAAUGCCGCGUGAGUGAAGAAGGCCUUCGGGUUGUAAAGCUCUUUUGUCAGGGAAGAAACGGUGAAGGCUAAUAUCCUUUGCUAAUGACGGUACCUGAAGAAUAAGCACCGGCUAACUACGUGCCAGCAGCCGCGGUAAUACGUAGGGUGCAAGCGUUAAUCGGAAUUACUGGGCGUAAAGCGUGCGCAGGCGGUUUUGUAAGUUUGUCGUGAAAUCCCCGGGCUCAACCUGGGAAUGGCG